AUACUUACCUGCCACGGAAGCAUUCACGAUCAUGAACGUGAAUACUCCAGGUUGAGGCGCGAGCAUUGCACAUCGCUCCCGUUGACGCCUGCGAAAAGUCCACAUCGGGCUUUCUCGAGUGGAUAAUUUGUUCCGCGGUCACAUGCGUUCGCGCAUUGACCAU
This 163-nucleotide small nuclear RNA is filed under the name Adineta vaga. Its description in RNAcentral is "U1 spliceosomal RNA". It matches the Rfam family "U1 spliceosomal RNA". From Rfam's summary of the family: U1 is a small nuclear RNA (snRNA) component of the spliceosome (involved in pre-mRNA splicing). Its 5' end forms complementary base pairs with the 5' splice junction, thus defining the 5' donor site of an intron. There are significant differences in sequence and secondary structure between metazoan and yeast U1 snRNAs, the latter being much longer (568 nucleotides as compared to 164 nucleotides in human). The record is from RNAcentral. Lineage: Eukaryota; Metazoa; Rotifera; Eurotatoria; Adinetida; Adinetidae.